Molecule: long non-coding RNA, 329 nt
Filed under: Homo sapiens (human)
Lineage: Eukaryota; Metazoa; Chordata; Mammalia; Primates; Hominidae
Description: HSALNT0316212
Source: RNAcentral
GUCAGCACCCAUGGAGGGAGCAUUUAGAUCAGCCCUAGCCAGGGAAGAAUUCUCCAUCCCAGCGGUCAGAACCUGAAUUCUGGCUAGCCCCACCACCAUGGGCUAAAGAAGCUCUGGGGUUCUAAAUAAACUUGAAAGGUAGUCUAGGCUACAAGGACCUCAAUUAUUGGGUAGUACAGCUCACAGCUCUGGGAGAGACUCCUUCCUUCUGCUUCAGAAAGGGAGAGGGACAUUGAUAAACAUCUACAAACAUCGAGAACAUCCAGGGAAACAUGACCUCACCAAACAAUCUACAUAAGGCACCAGGGAACCCACCUUGGAUUUCCUUU